Molecule: small RNA, 90 nt
Filed under: Klebsiella pneumoniae
Lineage: Bacteria; Pseudomonadati; Pseudomonadota; Gammaproteobacteria; Enterobacterales; Enterobacteriaceae
Also listed under: 2 other names
Description: partial RtT sRNA
Rfam family: RtT RNA
About the family: This family represents a bacterial cis-regulatory element known as RtT RNA. The exact function of RtT is unknown although it is thought that it may be involved in changing the cellular response in relation to amino acid starvation.
Source: RNAcentral
UAUUCUGCCCCAUGGGGAAGGAUGAGAAGCUUCGACUAAGGUUCGACUCGAGCGAAGCGAGAGAACGUUGCCGCAGGCAACGGCCCGAAG